CUACGUGCCAGCAGCCGCGGUAAUACGGAAGGUCCAGGCGUUAUCCGGAUUUAUUGGGUUUAAAGGGAGCGUAGGCGGAUUGUUAAGUCAGCGGUUAAAGGGUGUGGCUCAACCAUACAUUGCCGUUGAAACUGGCGAUCUUGAGUGCAGACAGGGAUGCCGGAAUUCGUGGUGUAGCGGUGAAAUGCUUAGAUAUCACGAAGAACUCCGAUCGCGAAGGCAGGUGUCCGGGCUGCAACUGACGCUGAGGCUCGAAAGUGUGGGUAUCAAACAGGAUUAGAUACCCUGGUAGUCCACACAGUAAACGAUGUAUACUCGCGGUUUGCGAUAGACAGUAAGCCGCCAAGCGAAAGCAUUAAGUAUACCACCUGGGGAGUACGCCGGCAACGGUGAAACUCAAAGGAAUUGACGGGGGCCCGCACAAGCGGAGGAACAUGUGGUUUAAUUCGAUGAUACGCGAGGAACCUUACCCGGGCUUGAACUGCAGCUGAACGAUUCAGAGA
RNAcentral lists this ribosomal RNA (503 nucleotides) under uncultured bacterium. RNAcentral describes it as "bacterial SSU rRNA". It matches the Rfam family "Bacterial small subunit ribosomal RNA", at positions 501 to 1006 of the family's 1533-position model. The record is from RNAcentral.